Molecule: ribosomal RNA, 217 nt
Filed under: Campeiostachys nutans
Lineage: Eukaryota; Viridiplantae; Streptophyta; Magnoliopsida; Poales; Poaceae
Description: Elymus nutans partial small subunit ribosomal RNA
Rfam family: Eukaryotic small subunit ribosomal RNA
Source: RNAcentral
AGACCGGUUUACUGGUCGUGCUUUUGUACGUACUGGUAUAAUCGGUUGCUCUCCUUUCUGAUGAACCUUAAUGCCAUUAAUUUGGUGUUUUAGGGAAUCAGGACUGUUACUUUGAAAAAAUUAGAGUGUUUAAAGCAGGCUCACGCUUGAAUACAUUAGCAUGGAAUAACGGAAUAGGACGUUUGAUUCUAUUUUGUUGGUUUCUAGGAUCGACGUA